Molecule: long non-coding RNA, 1812 nt
Filed under: Capsicum annuum
Lineage: Eukaryota; Viridiplantae; Streptophyta; Magnoliopsida; Solanales; Solanaceae
Description: long non-coding RNA (CANN_LNC005134)
Source: RNAcentral
GCAAAUAUCUCACAUCUUAUGUAAAAGAUAUCCAAUUGUCGAUUAGAGCAUAUAGGGGUAAAAUAUAAAUCAACUUUAUGGAAACAAAAUAUAAAAUCAACUUAUUUUCUAUAGUCCCCUGUGAUGAGUUUUUCUUUUCCUUCAAAGAUUCGCAAGGUGUGCCGUAGUUGUUUCGUGUGCAACUUCAAAUUCUUUAUCAAGUCUUCUUCCCUCACCCAUUACCGCCUGAAAUUUAUAAUUUUUAAUGAAUACACACAUAUACUGCUCAUGCUGGAAAAAUAAAACAAGAAAAUCAAUUAAAUUUGAUCGACAUCAACACGAGAAUUGAAAUCCGUAAAUAUUUCACCAUGAAUAACAAUCUCAUUAUUUAUAGAUAAGAAACUAACUUGGUCCUAAAGUAACUAACCACUUUUCUCCAAACAAACAAAGUAAGCAUUCACUAUAAUGAAAAAGACUUCUAAAUUCGAAAAAGAACAGAAAAUUAAUUAAAAAAAUAAACAAUUAAGUAAAGAAAACGACAGUUUUAUGAAAACUUUAAAGAAGAUCUUUUUUUCUUUUUAUGACUUUGUUUUUAAGAUUUCCUUUUAGUAGGUUUCAAAGUCCUUAUUCUUUGAAAUUGAAUUAUGUCGAAAAUUAUUUAUAUAUUAUUUUUUUUAAAAAAAGAAAGAAAAUUGAUUGAAACAGAAAAGUGGGGAAAUUAUAAAUAAAUUAAAACGUAUGCACUUAGAACUCUUUUUUACUUUAGAUUUUAGAAGUCCUUAUUCUCAUAUAUGGAUUAGGAUUAUAACUUUCAGAUAAAAAGAUAUACUUCAUACAUAUCCUGAGGGAAGAAUCUGAAGAUAAAAAGACACUUUAUAUAUAUCCUGAGGGAAGAAUCUGAAGAUAGACGGAUGAUUAACGAACAAGAAGCUUUGAAAUUUCUAAUUAAUUUAUUUAAUAAGGUAGUGUUCACUUGUUUCCUCUUAAGCUAAGGUUAAAUUUUUUAAUUUUAUAUAAAUAUCCUAAUAUAAAAAAAUUACUUUAGUUAAUUUUCAAGUCCAAAAUAUUAGGACACUAAUUAAAAUCCUAAAUAUCAUAGGAAUCAUAAAAUAACUACAAUUGAGAAAUUAGAAUGGUUGAACAAUCCCAUAGAAAAGAAGAACAUCAUAUUUUCUAAUGUAAAAUAGAUUAUAAAUUGAUAAAGAUGACGGUAAGAUCUCAAACACUUCGUUGACUGCUUCGUCGAAUUAUUACCACCGAAUUCAGCAAGACAUGAUUAUUAAAUUGUUAUUGAUGUGUUGUAUUUAAUUACUUUUACUUUCUUGAAACAUGCAGUAAUCUUAAAGAUUAGAUGCCAUAUUCUAAGUAAAAAUAGAGUGAAGAACAAAAGCAUUCGUGACAAUUCCUUAUGUGAAGUCACUAUCAAAGCUUGAAUAUGAUCAAAAACAGGUUUAUUAGUAUAAUGCAGUAUUCUCAAUUAACGUAUUUAAAAGUCAUAUUGAAAAAAUUCAAAUUUGAUUGACUCAACUCGACGUAUAUGUCGCAAGCAAAAUGUACAACACCUUGAAUUUGAACACAUGAAAAUUGGGCAAUCAGAAUUAAUUACGCCAAUGAAAUUAGCAACAGUUGCUUUAUGAAAGGGCAAACUUUAAAACUUAGAAUAAUUAUGGACUUACUAAAAGAAACAAAAACAUUAUAUAUUGUCAGACUUCCAUAAAAAUCAUGAUAAGAGAAUUUUUAACUUUGCUAUAUAAAUACCAGUAAAGAAGACGGAAGCAUAAUCAUGAUGAACUUUGGUAUGUGAAUAGAAUUUUUUAUGUUUUCUCUUCAAAG